GAUCAUGCUCAGGACGAACGCUGGCGGCGUGCCUAACACAUGCAAGUCGAACGGAACUGUUUUGAAAGAUUUCUUCGGAAUGAAUUUGAUUUAGUUUAGUGGCGGACGGGUGAGUAACGCGUGAGUAACCUGCCUUCAAGAGGGGGAUAACGAUUCUGAAAAGAAUGCUAAUACCGCAUGACAUAUCGGAACCACAUGGUUCUGAUAUCAAAGAUUUUAUCGCUUGAAGAUGGACUCGCG
Molecule: ribosomal RNA, 240 nt
Filed under: uncultured bacterium
Lineage: Bacteria
Description: partial 16S ribosomal RNA
Rfam family: Bacterial small subunit ribosomal RNA
Source: RNAcentral